Molecule: long non-coding RNA, 5155 nt
Filed under: Nicotiana benthamiana
Lineage: Eukaryota; Viridiplantae; Streptophyta; Magnoliopsida; Solanales; Solanaceae
Description: long non-coding RNA (NBEN_LNC032140)
Source: RNAcentral
CCAAAACAUCAUUUACAAAAACUCUUUGUAAACCUAAGGAUUAAAUCUAAUCCCAGUGUGGCACACAACCUCAACUGUUGCGACACCUUUAAGUUAACUCUAACUUGAAUACUCAAAGUACCUAAUACAAUUGCUUCUAAAGAAGAUGUAAGGUACAACAUGAAACACCUACUACAGUUGAACUGGAAUAAGAAUAAACACAAUGAAUCUGGUUCUUCUAUCUCGGUCAAGUAGCUUCAGGCGUGCAGACUUAUAUCUCACAUAUAUUGCUUGCAAAACAGACUUGCUCUUUUGUUCUCAAUUAUGUUUUACUUCUGCAUAUGUGCAGUACCUGUAAAAGAGAACAACUCUGUUAUUUAUUAGAUUAGCAAUUAGAGUUUUAUUGUAACUUAAUUUCUGAUCCUCUAUUGAGUUUGAGUCCUAGACCAAUCUAAACUCCAACCCUUAUCCGGAUGUGUUCUCUUCUAAUAAGGAGACAUCUUCUCCUUAUCUCAUAUGCAAUGUUUUCGAUUGCUACUUUAUCCCCAAGGAUUUAUCUUCUUCACGUGUGUCGCAUGUGUAUGGUCCAUAACAGUUGUGUCUCCCAAGAUGGACCAAGUCCAUUACUGAGUUCAUUUGUCAAUCUUCAAAACUUCAACUGAACUUGGGCCAACAAAUUACCCCUUUUUGAUGAUGACAAACUCUAUGCUUUUACUAAUUAGAUAACCUGCGGAACUCAGCUGAAACACUUAAAAUUUUAACUUAUCAUUAAGGCCAGAUUUAAUUAGGUCAUAAACAUAACUAUUCAGAUUAUACAGUUCAAGCACAACAUCUUUCCCCUUUUGGAAUCAUUGAAAAGUUGCAUAAAUAAUGUGAAUCCCAGAAAUCAAUUAUUACUCAUGGUCACUGGGGCAACUGCAAGUGAAAGCAUGAUUUAGUUAAUCAAAAAUCAACUUGACAAGAAGAACUAUUAAGAUCAGAAUUAACAUACAGCAAGAGAACUUCAUAUUUUCAUUGAUAAGCGAUGCUUCUACAUAGCAGUUCACAAAAAGAAAGACAAAAACUAUUAACCAUGAGCAAAGAUAAAAAGUAACAGAACAGAUAAAGUCCCUAAUCUAGGUAACUGGUGAUUUUUAGACUGGUUCCCAACAGGACAAGAAACCUAAGGCUUUGAGGAGCUGGAGGGUUGGGUUUGUAGCAGAUUAAGAAUUUGUUGGAGCAUUCCUUCAUUCUUCUCUUUUUCUUUUGCAAGUUCAGAUCUCAACCCAUUCCUUUCUUCCUCCAAUUCAACAAUUCAAGCUUGAAGCCUUGCAAUCUCAGCAUCUUUUGUCCCAACCUCCUGAACCAAGGCUCUGACCUUGCUAUUCACAGGAGUCUUCACUAAAGAACCAGGUUCAACUGGGCCUACACUAAGGGGAUAAUCACAUGCUUGGAGGGUCUUGAUGCUAAAGUGCUCUUUGCUGGAAGCAUUUUCCUAUUUCUUCAAGGGAACUUUCAGCUUGUCCAACACAUCAGUCAGAAUAAAUCCAUAAGGAAUGGCAUGAGCCUUUGAACCAUUGAGCACUCUGUCUAGCAGCUUACAGUGAAAGCAGACCAGUUAAUCUUCUUUCCCUCCAAUAAGCACUGCAUAAGGACCAAGUCCAUAUAGUUUGUUGUAUGCCUCCUCUCAUGUCUAGGAAGCAGACAUUUGUUCACAAAUUCAAAGAGCACUUUAUGCUCUAGCUCUAACUCUUUUGAACCGCCCUUGGUCCAGACACCUCCUCAGCAUCUACAGUAUCACAAAAAUUCCUUGUGAUUUGAACUUCAGAAUGUAGACCGUCCGGACAAGGCCACCUUUGCCUUGUGUAGUCAAUCAUAGCCCUCACUUGGAAUAUUCAGGAUUCUGCCCAGCUUAGGUGCAUCAAAUGUCACCUUUACCUCCUUCACUAUACUGGUUACCAGCCCAUUCUUCACUGUUCCAUUAGCUAUGAACUCAACAAGUUCUUUUCUUGCCAAUCUCCCAUCCGUCUGAAGGACCACGUCCUUCCAUCCUUGUGCCUUCAGUGAAGUCAACAAUCUCACCAUGCCCGGUUCCUCCAGGUAUUUAAGCAAUCUACCUUUCAGAAUUUUUCUUUUGCUAAAUAAGGAAACCUAUCAUGUUCCUGUACUGAUUCUCCUUCUCCUUCUUCUCCACUCCACUCUUCAUCCUCUUCUUCCUCAACUUGUAGUUGUUUUCCCUUUGCAGUUGACCUAGUUCUUUUAGCUAGAGAGGCUUCAGUAGGUACAGACUUGGAGGGCUUCUUUUAAGAAGACUUGUUCCCUUUGGUUUAGCAGUGGGAAUUUCCACAGUCGUACCUCUCUCUUGAUGGACCAGUUCCAUAUCUUCCUCUUCCUCUUCCUCUUCUACAAUAGCCUCCAAAUUUUCAACCAUUUUUGCUUUUCCCUUUUCUUUCUUCUUUCUUAAUCUCCUCUAGUGCCUUUUGUAGUUCAGCCUCACUUUGCCUCACCCUACUUCUUGUGGUUCUACCCCUAGGUGCAACAAUCUUAGGUGAUGAAACUCUGCUCUUAUUUGCUGGUUUGGACACAACAAGGAUCCUUUGUGAGGAAGCCUUGCAUUUCUUAAGAUCAUAACUUGCGUCAACUUUUUUCAGCAUAUAUGCGAAAGUAUCCUCCACAGAUGAACCAGGUGGUUGUUCACUCAAAUUCACCAUUUCCUCAGCAGCUUCCCCUGACCCACUUCCCCCUGACUUCAAGCCUCCUUCUUCUCCACUACCACCGAUAGCGAAAACCUUCCCCUUAUUUUUCUUUCUCCUUUUACUAGAUUCAGCCCCUUCAACAUUUUUGACAGACCCUACCAGAACAAACGUAUUAUUCUCCUUUUUUUCUACAUCAGAAAACAAUAAAAAGUAUUUACCUCUCCUAGGGUUUCUUGACUCUUGUCAGUGUUAGAAGAACCAAGUUCUUCUCCUUCACUUGCAGAGAUGAACUUUUCUGAUUCAGAGCUUGAGUCACUUUCUUUAGGUGUAACUUGUUUUUUUGACUGGCCUUCAAUUUUUCGUUCAAGUCUUUCCUCAAUGGACCAAAUGCAAAUAUUUUUCUGGCUAACAUUUUCUGGUGACAAAAUCUGCGUUUUGGGGGUUCACUAGGAGGAUAUGAUGAUGAGGUGUUGGAGGAAACUGAUGGUGGAGUUCCAGGAUUAUUUUGGGGAUUAGUCAUGGUGGAGAAUUUCUUGAAAUUUUGGGGAUUUUCGGAGAAGAAAAUAGAUGAUCAGAGGUUUGAGAAUAGAGUGACGGUAAUGAGUGAUUUGGGGUUUUUAAAUAGGGGUCAUGAUUAUAUCAUUUGAGAAUUUCGGUCUCCUUGGUGAUUAAUGAGAAUUUCUAAUAUUUAGGGAAGAGACCCGUUAUACUUAGACUCCUAGUUUUAAUGAAACUGGUUCAAUUUGUUCAACGGAUAAAAUUAUCUGGACGUUUGGUCUUUCUAGGACUUCUGCUCAUGAUUGAUAAUUUUAUCUUUCUAAUUGUGCAAAGUAUAGAAACAUACCUAUACUUUCUCAUGAGUAUAUAUUGAUGAACCAGGUUCUUCAAGUAAAACUUCUCUUGAUAUGCCUCAAAUGUCAGAAUAGAAAACUUUGUAAGAGAUCAAUGAGUCAUAUAAACACAUGUCACUAGAUUAUACUAGUUAAAGUAUGAGACUAAGUAAGAAUUAGUCUAGAUAUUUACAUGAAUUAAGAACUCCUAACAAAAAAAAUGUUUUUUUCAUUGUGCAAUCUGAACUGGACCUUUUAGGUGAUCUUAAUCAUCCCAAUUCCAACAUGUUCCUUUCAAAGUUUUCUGUACUUAGUGCCUUAGUGAAUAUAUCAACUAUUUGCUUGUCAGUAGCAUAAAAUUCUAUGGAGAUUAACCCUUUCUCGUAGUUAUCUCUUAAGAAGUGGUGUCUAACAUCUAUGUGCAUAAUCCUUUCAUGAUGAACAUGGUUCUUUGACAUAAUUAUAGAACUAGUGUUAUCACAGAAUAUUGGUAUGCAUCCUACUUCAAUUCCAAAAUCUACAAGUUGUUGCUUAAUCCAUUAUAAUUGAGCACAACAUGAAGCAGCAACAACAUAUUCAGCUUCAGCAGUAGAGAGAGCUACUGAAAGUCUACCAAUUGUUGCUUAAUCCACAGUAACUGAGCACAACAUGAAGCAGCAGCAACAUACUCAGCUUCAGCAGUAGAGAGAGCUACUGAAUUCUGCUUUUUGGUAGCCCAUGAUACAAGACAAGAACCCAGGAAGUGUGCCAUACCUGAGGUGCUCUUGUUAUCCACUAGAAAAUAUGCAUAUUCAGCAUCAUCGUAUCCAAUUAAAUCAAAAUUACUACCUUUGAGAUACCAAAGACACAAAUCAGUGGUGCCUUUCAAAUAUCUCAAUAUCCUUAAAACAGCUAUCAAGUGUGACUCCUUUAGAUUCGCCCAAAAAUGAGCACAAAGCCCUACAACGAAGAUAAUGGCAGGUUUGCUGGAAGUAAGAUACAAAAGUGAACCAACCAUACCCCUAUACAACUUCUGAUCAACUGAUGAACCAGGCUCAUCAAUUUCUAAUUUAGUGACAGUGGCAAUAGGAGUAUCUAUUUCUUUGGAUUCUUCCAUUUUAUACUUUUUUGAUUAGUUCUUUUGUGUACUUCUGCUGAUGCAUCAUAGUUCUAUUUGGACUUUGUUUGAUUUGCAAUCCUAGGAAGAAGUUGAGUUCAUCAUCAUACUAAUUUCAAACUCAAUUUCCAUUAGUUUUGCAAAGUCAUUGCUCAACCUAUCUGUCGUUGCCCCAAAUACUAUGUCAUCAACAUAUAUUUGUACAACAAAAAGAUAUUACCUUUUUCUCUUAGGAACAAAGUGCUUUCAAUUUUACCUCUUCUGUACCCAAGCUCCAGUAGAAAUUUUGAAAAUCUUUCAUACCAAGCUCUUGGGGCCUGCUUGAGACCACAUAGAUCUUUAUCUAGCUUGUAUACAUGUCCAGGACACUCCUUGCUUUCAAAUCCUGGAGGUUGUUUUACAAACACUUCUUCCUUGAGGUAGCCAUUUAUGAAGGCCCUUUUGACAUCUAUCUGAUGAAGAGUGAAUUCCAUAUGUGCUGCAAAACCUAUGAGGAGUAUAAUUGCUUCAAGUCUAGAAACUGGAGCAAAAGUCUCAUCAUAGUCAAUACCUUCCUCUUGACUAUAGCCUUGAAC